CAAACUGACCCCAGGGAGGAGGAGGGGGGCAGGCAGAUCCUGGACACAAACCACACACACACACUCAAAGUGACCCCAGGGAGGACAAGUCCCCCCACAUGCACCACACUCACAUACACACACACGCUCUGGCAAGCUGGGGAGUGAGGGCAGGUCCUAAACACACACACACCCACACACAUAAACCUUCCCUCCUCUCCCCAAGCUGUCCCCAGCCCACUUGAACUGCUUCCAGCUAGGCAGGUGUGCAGGCCGCCGACAAGCCCCCUGAUAGACUUGGGGAGUGGAGAGAACUGGUAGACCCUGAUCCGUCCCUCCCCCUCCUCCUGCCCGGGCCUGGAAGUGACAGGUGACUGGCAGCAGCUUGAAGUGACCCAGGUGCACCGAGGAGUGAGAGAUUGUUUUUGCUUCAAAUUCAGAUUAUUCAGCAAGACCUGAGAAGUCAAGAUGGGGGCUGCAAUGAGGAGGAGAAGGAGAAAGAAAAGGAAGCAGGAGGAAACAAGGUGGCUGGCACCCAGGGAGACCAACUGGAUACUUGGAUUCUUCUAUCCCAGAUAAAUUCAGAUUGGCAGUCCCAUUGCAGAUUGCCUGCGCCAGCGAUGCAAAAAUCCUGGGAAGAUGAGGAAAACAAACAGAAGCAGAGUGACUUACUCAACG
Molecule: long non-coding RNA, 657 nt
Organism: Ornithorhynchus anatinus (platypus)
Lineage: Eukaryota; Metazoa; Chordata; Mammalia; Monotremata; Ornithorhynchidae
Exons: 4
Source: RefSeq, a predicted model, not a curated record